Molecule: ribosomal RNA, 387 nt
Filed under: Paguristes wassi
Lineage: Eukaryota; Metazoa; Arthropoda; Malacostraca; Decapoda; Diogenidae
Description: partial large subunit ribosomal RNA
Rfam family: Bacterial large subunit ribosomal RNA
Source: RNAcentral
GCAUAAUCACUAGUCUUUUAAUUGAAGGCUCGUAUGAAUGGUUGGACGAAAAAUAAUCUGUCUCUUAGUUGAAAUCUGAAUUUAACAUUUAAGUGAAAAGGCUUAAAUAAAGUAAAAAGACGAUAAGACCCUAUAAAUCUUUACACUAUUAAAAGAUUUAAAGCUAGAUAUUAGUAAAAUGUUGUUAGAUGGUUUAAGGUGUUUUGUUGGGGCAACAUAAAUAUAAAUUUAUCUGUUUAUAAAUAAUUACAAAAAUUUUUGAAUAAGCCUAUAAGAUCCUUUAUAGAGAUUAUAAGAUUAAGUUACUUUAGGGAUAACAGCGUUAUUUUACUUGAGAGUUCAUAUCGAAAGUAAAGUUUGCGACCUCGAUGUUGAAUUAAAAUUUCU